RNAcentral lists this transfer RNA (63 nucleotides) under Trixa longipennis. RNAcentral's name for it is "tRNA-His". The record is from RNAcentral. Lineage: Eukaryota; Metazoa; Arthropoda; Insecta; Diptera; Tachinidae.
AUUUAAAUAGUUUAAUUAAAAUAUUGAUUUGUGAUAUCAGAGAUAAGAAUUUCUUUUUAGAUU